ACAUGACUCUCGGCAAUGGAUAUCUCGGCUCUCGCAUCGAUGAAGAGCGCAGUGUAAAUCAAUACGUGGUGCGAAUUGCAGAAUCCCGUGAACCAUAAAGUUUUUGAACGCAAGUUGCGCCCGAGGCCAGCCGGCCAAGGGCACGUCCGCCUGGGCGUCA
Molecule: ribosomal RNA, 160 nt
Filed under: Oreorchis sp. LuoYibo721
Lineage: Eukaryota; Viridiplantae; Streptophyta; Magnoliopsida; Asparagales; Orchidaceae
Description: 5.8S ribosomal RNA
Rfam family: 5.8S ribosomal RNA
About the family: 5.8S ribosomal RNA (5.8S rRNA) is a component of the large subunit of the eukaryotic ribosome. It is transcribed by RNA polymerase I as part of the 45S precursor that also contains 18S and 28S rRNA. Functionally, it is thought that 5.8S rRNA may be involved in ribosome translocation.
Source: RNAcentral